This 83-nucleotide transfer RNA is filed under the name Pleomassaria siparia CBS 279.74. It matches the Rfam family "tRNA". From Rfam's summary of the family: Transfer RNA (tRNA) molecules are approximately 80 nucleotides in length. Their secondary structure includes four short double-helical elements and three loops (D, anti-codon, and T loops). Lineage: Eukaryota; Fungi; Ascomycota; Dothideomycetes; Pleosporales; Pleomassariaceae. The record is from Rfam by way of RNAcentral.
GGACGUGUGGCCCAAUGGCAAGGCGCUUGACUACGACUUGUAGCAUUAUCAAGAGAUUCCAGGUUCGACCCCUGGCACGUUCA